UGGGGUACAGCUCAGUUGGUAGAGUGCUUGCCUUGCAUGCAAAAGGCCCUGGGUUCAAUCCCCAGCACCACAC
This 73-nucleotide transfer RNA is filed under the name Marmota monax (woodchuck). It matches the Rfam family "tRNA". Rfam says of the family: Transfer RNA (tRNA) molecules are approximately 80 nucleotides in length. Their secondary structure includes four short double-helical elements and three loops (D, anti-codon, and T loops). Lineage: Eukaryota; Metazoa; Chordata; Mammalia; Rodentia; Sciuridae. The record is from Rfam by way of RNAcentral.